This 449-nucleotide ribosomal RNA is filed under the name uncultured bacterium. Its description in RNAcentral is "partial 16S ribosomal RNA". It matches the Rfam family "Bacterial small subunit ribosomal RNA", at positions 29 to 523 of the family's 1533-position model. The record is from RNAcentral.
AAUGAACGCUGGCGGCAGGCCUAACACAUGCAAGUCGAACGGAUCCUUCGGGAUUAGUGGCGGACGGGUGAGUAACGCGUGGGGACAUACCCUUUGGUACGGAAUAGCCUCGGGAAACUGGGAGUAAUACCGUAUGUGGUCGAGAGACGAAAGAUUUAUCGCCAAAGGAUUGGCCCGCGUUGGAUUAGGUGGUUGGUGGGGUAAUGGCCUACCAAGCCGACGAUCCAUAGCUGGUUUGAGAGGAUGAUCAGCCACACUGGGACUGAGACACGGCCCAGACUCCUACGGGAGGCAGCAGUGGGGAAUCUUAGACAAUGGGGGAAACCCUGAUCUAGCCAUGCCGCGUGAUCGAUGAAGGCCUUAGGGUUGUAAAGAUCUUUCAGGUGGGAAGAUAAUGACUGUACCACCAGAAGAAGCCCCGGCUAACUCCGUGCCAGCAGCCGCAGUAA